Rattus rattus (black rat) is the source of this 703-nucleotide long non-coding RNA. RefSeq lists it as uncharacterized. The record is from RefSeq and is a predicted model, not a curated record. NCBI's taxonomy places the organism in Eukaryota, Metazoa, Chordata, Mammalia, Rodentia, Muridae. The transcript has 3 exons.
GAUAAGAAAGUGGCUGCUGCAAUAGCUGACAACUCUUGAUUCAAAGGCUGGGUAAAGAUAAGGCUCAGUGGCAUCUCUGGAUUCCAGCAGUCUGUCAUCAGAAAGCCUGUAACUUGAAGGUGCUGUUUGCCUCCCAAAGCAGAAGGUUGAAGGCUGACCUUUUUGGGGGCAAGAGGGCAUUUUUCAACCAAUUCUUGGAGGGAAGAAAUCAAAUUACCCCUUUGGUUUUAUCCAAGCUCAGGGAAGUGAAUUUCUACUCUCUACUUUCUCCAGAAAAAAUUCCAAAGCUUUCUGCAGAUCCUUAUGGAGCUGGGACCCAACCACAGCACACCCAGAAGAAAAGGACUAUACAGGCCAGUAUGAUAUGAGAGAAAGCCCGCUGAGGAAUCCUGGCUGGACACGAUCUCUAUAGCAAAAGUUACCAUAGUCCUGUGAACUUCCUCCCUCUGAGAUGAUGCAGCCUUAUCUCUUGGCGAAACAAUUCCUCCCUUCAUCAUCAUUUGGACAGCUCUGUAAAAACAGGUCAUAAUGAACCGAACAAGAUGCCCAAAGGAAAGAAGGCCAAGGGGAGGAAGGUGGCCCCGGCCCCUGCCAUGGUCAAGAAACAGGAAGCCAAAAAGGUGGUAAAUCCUUUGUUUGAGAAGAGGCCUAAGAACUUUGGCAUUGGGCAGGACAUGCAGCUCAAAAGAGAUCUAACGCUUCG